Molecule: ribosomal RNA, 510 nt
Filed under: uncultured bacterium
Lineage: Bacteria
Description: partial 16S ribosomal RNA
Rfam family: Bacterial small subunit ribosomal RNA
Source: RNAcentral
GACGAACGCUGGCGGCGUGCUUAACACAUGCAAGUCGAACGAAGAGCGACGGAAGCUUGCUUCUAUCAAUCUUAGUGGCGAACGGGUGAGUAACGCGUAAUCAACCUGCCCUUCAGAGGGGGACAACAGUUGGAAACGACUGCUAAUACCGCAUACGAUCUAACCUCGGCAUCGAGGAUAGAUGAAAGGUGGCCUCUACAUGUAAGCUAUCACUGAAGGAGGGGAUUGCGUCUGAUUAGCUAGUUGGAGGGGUAACGGCCCACCAAGGCGAUGAUCAGUAGCCGGUCUGAGAGGAUGAACGGCCCCAUUGGGACUGAGACACGGCCCAGACUCCUACGGGAGGCAGCAGUGGGGAAUCUUCCGCAAUGGACGAAAGUCUGACGGAGCAACGCCGCGUGAGUGAUGACGGCCUUCGGGUUGUAAAGCUCUGUUAAUCGGGACGAAAGGCCUUCUUGCGAAUAGUGAGAAGGAUUGACGGUACCGGAAUAGAAAGCCACGGCUAACUACGUG